Molecule: ribosomal RNA, 511 nt
Filed under: uncultured bacterium
Lineage: Bacteria
Description: bacterial SSU rRNA
Rfam family: Bacterial small subunit ribosomal RNA
Source: RNAcentral
GACGAACGCUGGCGGCGUGCCUAAUACAUGCAAGUCGAGCGGACCAAAGGGAGCUUGCUCCUGGAGGUCAGCGGCGAACGGGUGAGUAACACGUGGGCAACCUGCCUGUAAGACUGGGAUAACAUCGAGAAAUCGGUGCUAAUACCGGAUAAUAAAAAGAACUGCAUGGUUCUUUUUUGAAAGAUGGUUUCGGCUAUCACUUACAGAUGGGCCCGCGGCGCAUUAGCUAGUUGGUGAGGUAACGGCUCACCAAGGCAACGAUGCGUAGCCGACCUGAGAGGGUGAUCGGCCACACUGGGACUGAGACACGGCCCAGACUCCUACGGGAGGCAGCAGUAGGGAAUCUUCCGCAAUGGACGAAAGUCUGACGGAGCAACGCCGCGUGAGUGAUGAAGGUUUUCGGAUCGUAAAACUCUGUUGUUAGGGAAGAACAAGUGCCGUUCGAAAGGCGGCACCUUGACGGUACCUAACGAGAAAGCCACGGCUAACUACGUGCCAGCAGCCGCGGUAA